RNAcentral lists this ribosomal RNA (495 nucleotides) under uncultured bacterium. RNAcentral's name for it is "partial 16S ribosomal RNA". It matches the Rfam family "Bacterial small subunit ribosomal RNA", at positions 28 to 507 of the family's 1533-position model. The record is from RNAcentral.
GACGAACGCUGGCGGCGUGCCUAAUACAUGCAAGUAGAACGCUGAAGGAGGAGCUUGCUUCUCUGGAUGAGUUGCGAACGGGUGAGUAACGCGUAGGUAACCUGCCUGGUAGCGGGGGAUAACUAUUGGAAACGAUAGCUAAUACCGCAUAAGAGUAGAUGUUGCAUGACAUUUGCUUAAAAGGUGCGAUUGCAUCACUACCAGAUGGACCUGCGUUGUAUUAGCUAGUUGGUGGGGUAACGGCUCACCAAGGCGACGAUACAUAGCCGACCUGAGAGGGUGAUCGGCCACACUGGGACUGAGACACGGCCCAGACUCCUACGGGAGGCAGCAGUAGGGAAUCUUCGGCAAUAGACGGAAGUCUGACCGAGCAACGCCGCGUGAGUGAAGAAGGUUUUCGGAUCGUAAAGCUCUGUUGUAAGAGAAGAACGAGUGUGAGAGUGGAAAGUUCACACUGUGACGGUAUCUUACCAGAAAGGGACGGCUAACUACGUG